This 35-nucleotide small RNA is filed under the name Bombyx mori (domestic silkworm). RNAcentral's name for it is "ovarian small RNA-11536". The record is from RNAcentral. Lineage: Eukaryota; Metazoa; Arthropoda; Insecta; Lepidoptera; Bombycidae.
ACGCUCGACGUCGCUCAGGGAGGAUGAAAUUAUCG